GACAAUUGUUAUUAUGGGUAGAGCAGGCAUGAAGCACUCAUUGUGCUAAACAAAAUAAUACCUACACAAUGAUUUAGACAUACAGGGAGGGCAUUUUCUGGACUAACAGUGAUUCUGGUUGCUCAAAAAGGGAGAUUUUGGUGCUGGAAAACUGACCAAGGCUUCCAGAAGCUUCAGCAAAAGAAAGAACUACUAAAGGAACUAUAAAAUCUAUUGAAAUAUCUCACAGAAGUUAUGAAUACAGAAGAUGGCUGUCAUAGAUCAAGAUAUAGGAAAACACUAACCUAGUAUGAUUAAUCAUCUUUAAUGUAUACACUUAGA
This is a non-coding RNA of Microcebus murinus (gray mouse lemur), 321 nucleotides long. Lineage: Eukaryota; Metazoa; Chordata; Mammalia; Primates; Cheirogaleidae. The record is from RefSeq and is a predicted model, not a curated record.